This 153-nucleotide long non-coding RNA is filed under the name Octopus sinensis (East Asian common octopus). RNAcentral describes it as "uncharacterized LOC118763200". The record is from RNAcentral. Lineage: Eukaryota; Metazoa; Mollusca; Cephalopoda; Octopoda; Octopodidae.
GAGCUGGCAGAAAGGUUAGCACGCAGGGCGAAGUGCUUAGAUGUAUUUCGUCUCCGCUACGUUUUGAGUUCAAAUUCUGCCGAGGUCGACUUUGCCUUUCAUCCUUUCGGGGUCGAUUAAAUAAGUACCAGUUACGCACUGGGAGUGACAAGG